This is a long non-coding RNA of Mauremys reevesii (Reeves's turtle), 762 nucleotides long. RefSeq lists it as uncharacterized. The record is from RefSeq and is a predicted model, not a curated record. The transcript is spliced from 2 exons. Lineage: Eukaryota; Metazoa; Chordata; Testudines; Geoemydidae.
UUUAUCCACAGCUGUGAUAGUGCCUGUGUUGGUUUAGCCCAACUUCUGCCUUUGCUCCAGUAUUACCUUGUUCCAGUUUGAAGAAGGGACAACCUGGGAAGGGUCACAGGAAGGGUGUUCUGUGAGCUGUGGCAGACCCCCACCUGAGACCAUACCCCUACUGUGAAAACAGUCCCCAAAGGGUGACAUUGGGUGGAGAUUGAAGAGGCCCAUAAGAGAAGACUGACAGACAGGAUGUGGAGAAAUUGCUUCCUUGCUGAAAACCAGUAGUGACCAGGUUGGGGCAGGAAGGGGCCAGAUCUGCUUCACCUGUGGGCAGGACAGCCAUUGCUACCACUCCUGUCCCAGUCUGGAAUGUGACUAUGCUGUAGUCUGCUCCUCCAAGGUCUCAGCAUUCCUCAGGAAGCCCCAUGCUCUAAUUGUCCCCAUCAUAGUCAAUGGGGUAGAGGACUCUGGCUGUGGCCAGACCUUCAUACAUGAGCAGCUACUGGGCCCCAAUUUCUCAAGGACUGGGGAAAUGUUACUUAUAGGAUGUAUCCAUGGAGAUUUCUGACCCUACCCCACUACCAGGAUUAAGCAGAGUGUAAAUGGGAGGGCUGUGGAGGAGUUGGUGGCUGUGGCAAAAGAAUUGUCAUACCGAGUGGUGCUGGGGUCUGUACUGGAGCCCAGUAGCUGGCCUGCUACAAGAGACAAAUCAUUCAUGUCUGGAUCCUAGACCUCUAGAGGUGCUGUAAGAGGGGAUUGCUUGGAAAGAUCUUUCCC